Molecule: ribosomal RNA, 607 nt
Filed under: uncultured bacterium
Lineage: Bacteria
Description: bacterial SSU rRNA
Rfam family: Bacterial small subunit ribosomal RNA
Source: RNAcentral
CCUACGGGAGGCAGCAGUGGGGAAUUUUCCGCAAUGGGCGAAAGCCUGACGGAGCAACGCCGCGUGAGGGAUGAAGGCCUCUGGGCUGUAAACCUCUUUUAUCAAGGAAGAAGAUCUGACGGUACUUGAUGAAUAAGCCACGGCUAAUUCCGUGCCAGCAGCCGCGGUAAUACGGGAGUGGCAAGCGUUAUCCGGAAUUAUUGGGCGUAAAGCGUCCGCAGGCGGUCUUGUAAGUCUGUCGUUAAAGCGUGGAGCUCAACUCCAUUUCGGCGGUGGAAACUACAAGACUAGAGUGUGGUAGGGGCAGAGGGAAUUCCCGGUGUAGCGGUGAAAUGCGUAGAUAUCGGGAAGAACACCAGUGGCGAAGGCGCUCUGCUGGGCCAUAACUGACGCUCAUGGACGAAAGCUAGGGGAGCGAAAGGGAUUAGAUACCCCUGUAGUCCUAGCCGUAAACGAUGAACACUAGGUGUCGGGGGAAUCGACCCCCUCGGUGUCGUAGCUAACGCGUUAAGUGUUCCGCCUGGGGAGUACGCACGCAGUGUGAACUACAAUAGAAUUAGUACGGCGUGAGACGUGCCGAACGGACGACGACCGACGGGGAGGUAGG